CGACCCUCAAGCCCUGUUUGCUUGGUGUUGGGGCCCUGCCGCGGACUCACCGUCCCCGCAGGCCCUCAAGGUCAGUGGCGGGCUCGCUAGUGCUCCGAGCGUAGUAGCAAUCGUUUUCUCGCUCAGGACGCGCGGCGGGCUCCCAGCCGUAAAACCCCCCAAUUUACCAAAGG
This 173-nucleotide unclassified non-coding RNA is filed under the name uncultured Ascomycota. RNAcentral's name for it is "sequence contains ITS2". Lineage: Eukaryota; Fungi; Ascomycota. The record is from RNAcentral.